RNAcentral lists this ribosomal RNA (301 nucleotides) under uncultured bacterium. RNAcentral's name for it is "partial 16S ribosomal RNA". It matches the Rfam family "Bacterial small subunit ribosomal RNA", at positions 509 to 807 of the family's 1533-position model. The record is from RNAcentral.
CAGCCGCCACGGUAAUACGAAGGGUGCAAGCGUUAAUCGGAAUUACUGGGCGUAAAGCGUGCGUAGGCGGUUUCUUAAGUCUGAUGUGAAAGCCCCCGGCUCAACCGGGGAGGGUCAUUGGAAACUGGGAAACUUGAGUGCAGAAGAGGAGAGUGGAAUUCCACGUGUAGCGGUGAAAUGCGUAGAGAUGUGGAGGAACACCAGUGGCGAAGGCGACUCUCUGGUCUGUAACUGACGCUGAGGAGCGAAAGCGUGGGGAGCGAACAGGAUUAGAUACCCCGGUAGUCCCUGUCUCUUAUAC